AAGGGUUUUGUUGGAGGUUGCAGCUCCUCCGUCACCCACUUUGUCCUGCACCUUGGAUGCAUGGGGCUGCAUGGCCAAACCUUCCCUUGGGGUUUUAGCAGGGUUGCAUGCAUAUCGUGGUUGUGGGGUUCUUGCAGGUAUGGGGAGAAUGAGCAAGAAGGAAAAAGAGAAAUCCUGAGAAGGUCCAGGAGAAGGUGGGACAAGGCUUGGAGGGGUGAUAUGGGGUGAUGGAGAGGAGCUGGGGCAUGGUGGAGCCUUGGAGAACCAUAACAGGGAAAAGGGGAAGGGCCUGGGAGACAGGACCCACCAAGGGGGAAGCCCAGGCAGCAUUAGGGAAACUGAGCCCCAGCCACUAGUUUUCUCCCAGAAAAAGGUUUAUGUAUAUGCUCACUGUGGGCCCUCAUUCAACUGCAGGAGACACUGGACCUGAAACCAGCACUUGCACAUGGGUCAAUGGCCCUACAAAUGCCCUGAGUGCAGGAAGGGUUUCAGCAUGAGCUCCUGUUGCAUCGUGCAUCAGUGAGUCUGUAGAGGGGAAGAGGCUGAGAAGCUGAAAUUUCUAUUGCAGGACACGCAGCAGAACAACUUUGAGAACACAGCCUCACCAGCCAAAUAUUUGCUUGGACAGAGCUUCACCCACAGCACCAACCUUUUUAUUCGCUGGUGACUCGACACCAGGGAGAGACCCUACAGCUGCCUUGACUGCAGGAAGAGCUUCUGUAGUAGCUCCGACCUUGUGUGACACCAGAGGACCCUCAGCGGGGAGAGACUCUAUAAAUGUCCUGAAAAUGUGCAUCAUCCAAGUGCAUCACCCACCAGAGGAGCCAUAUGGAAGAAGCUCCCUGCAAGUGCUCAGUGUGCCGGAAGAGCUACAAGGCCAAGGUGUCCCACCAGAAACUGCAUGUGGAGGAGAAAGCGUUGUGCAAGAAUGGGGUCAGCCCAUCUGGAGCUGGUGAGAUCUAAAAGUCCAACCCUAAACCUCUAGCACCUCAUAAGGAAAGGAACCCGCUCUUCCUCAGGUAACAUCUGUGGGAUGUUGUCUGAGUUUCAGCAGAGUUUCAUCUGCUUUUCUUCUUCCUAUAUUUAUAAAGAACAGCUGAAUUCCAUAAAACAUUGGCUAGGGAAGGGGUCAACAGGUAAGAUGUGGAAAAGCACAUUUUUAACUUACUAAGAAUUAAAGCUUUUAAAGAUUUUUUUUCCCUCCUAUUUAAGAAGUGUUCUUUCCUUUUUUUUUUUUUUUUUUUUUUUUUUUACCUUUCACAUUGGUUCCAUGGCAGGUUCAAACAAUUUUGUUCCAUUGCACAGGUUUGAACACCAAAUCCCUGCACUGCUCUGCCCUGGGUUUCUGCACUUCUGCGCUGAGUACCCAGUGCUCCCACAGUGCGUUGAAUAUUCAUGGCGAUUUAUUUCAAGCUGGGUUUAGUCAGAGCGAGGCAAAGUGGGUGGAAAAGCCCUUAUUUUUGGUCUAUGCGUAUAAACCCCAUUCUCUGAUUGGUAUCUUUAGGACAAAGCCUGAGUAGAAAUUCUGAUUUCUCCUAAAAGAGUUUGCUGUGUGCACACCUCAUGAUUUUCCACCUCUUUUUCUUAAGGAAUUACUCAUCAAAAGUCAAUUUGCUGACUGCUAGGGUGUUCAGGAGCAACUGAAACUCAUCUCUAAAAAGAAUAAAAUUGUUUUUUAGUCCCAUUAAA
Non-coding RNA from Anas platyrhynchos (mallard), 1689 nucleotides. NCBI's taxonomy places the organism in Eukaryota, Metazoa, Chordata, Aves, Anseriformes, Anatidae. The record is from RefSeq and is a predicted model, not a curated record.